This is an RNA transcript of Trachemys scripta elegans, 1643 nucleotides long. It is a transcript of the gene named signal peptidase complex subunit 1, with no coding region annotated. The record is from RefSeq and is a predicted model, not a curated record. NCBI's taxonomy places the organism in Eukaryota, Metazoa, Chordata, Testudines, Emydidae. The transcript has 5 exons.
GAGAUGGGGCGGAGCAAGGCUGCGCUGCUUCCGGCCAGCUCAGCGUCUAUCCUCCGGACUCGGACCCACUCCUUCACCGCUGCUGGUGGAGUGUCGACGCGGGCUAAGCGGUCCGGCAGGGAGGCAGCCGCCCGCAAGAUCUCGCCUCCCUCCUCCGAGGCCGGUGCCGCUGAAACCUCCGCUGCCUCCACCUCACGGGCCGGGGCCGACUUUGGCUCUCAGGACGCGCCUGAAGUUUCCCCUUCGCAGGCUGAGCGCGUCUCCGAGGCCUGCGCUUCUCAGGGCGGGGCGGGCAAUUCCGAGGAGAGCAGCGAGAGCGGGGAGGCAGCCGGCGGCGCGACUUCCGUCGCUAGCACCAUGCUGGACGUAUUCGGCUCCAUCCCCACCCAGAUGGACUACAAGGGUCAAAAACUAGCAGAACAGAUUUUUCAAGGGAUCAUUCUUGUUUCUGCGGUAAUUGGUUUUAUCUAUGGCUAUAUCGCUGAACAGUUUGGUUGGACUGUCUAUAUAGUUAUGGCUGGGUUUGCUUUAUCGUGCCUGCUAACACUCCCUCCAUGGCCUAUGUACCGCCGCAAUCCUCUGAAAUGGCUACCUGUCCAAGAGUCGGGAACAGAGGAUAAGAAGCCAGCAGAGAGAAAACUGAAAAGGCAUACUAAAAGUUGAAGAAUAUGAACCCUCAUGAUGUAACAUUGGAGAAUUUUGCUUCAUUAAAGAGUCACGUCCGCGGACCACAGAGACAAAAGCUUUCAGUACAUUUUACUCCUGUUAUCUUCGCAGAACCGCCAUAACUAAGGGAGAGUUAUCUUGAUUCAAUUCUGCUUUCUCAAUCACCAGAAGAGAAUCAACUAGAAUCCUUGUUACUUACAACACAUGAGCCAGGAAGAACAGUUUGAGACUUUCAGAUUCCAAGCUGAUUUUUUUCCAUCCAGCUUUUGACUUGCAAACUGAGCUCGAGCUCUGGGACCCUGCAAGGGGUGGUGAGGAAAGAGGAUGAACCCAGAACCUGGGCUCCAGUCCAAGCCAGAACAUCUACACUGCAAUUUUUAGCCCUGCAACACGAGCCUGGGCCACCCACAGCCAUGUCACAGAUCUUUUAUUCCAGUGCACAGUUACUCUGAAAGUCAAAAACAAACCUUAAGAUGCCAUUUUUAGAGUAGCAUUUCAGAAUAUGACCACUCUUGUGAAGGCUGAAUUUCAAAAGUUGAUUUACCUGCAUUGUUGCAAAAUUAGAGUACUACUUGUAGCUGCAAAAUAAGGACCCCAUUCUGUGAUGGGAUCUCUGCAAGUGACUCCUGCAUCUGCACAAAGCCCCAGGUUUUUAGAUGCUGAGUUGAGUCCCAUUUAAAGAUUAAGCCUUAAAGGUGAUCUGCAAAGCUUUACAGCAACUAAAUUAUUUGGAAGUUUUAAAGUUGUAUUUUAAGACAUUGGUAUCUACAAUUUUUUAUGAUUUUAGAUCUUAAAUGGUUAUUUUAGACCUUCAUAGUGUCGGUCACAUAUUGAUAGAUUACCUCAUGGACCACCUUCUCUUCCAUUCACAAUUAGAUGGAGCACCUCCCCUCCAACUGUCAAACAAACAUCAUCCCUGUGGCAACUACAGCAAUUACUUAAGUGGAAAAGUGAUAUUAAAAAUGUAAUUAAUUUUA